Molecule: transfer RNA, 72 nt
Filed under: Desulfobacteraceae bacterium SEEP-SAG10
Lineage: Bacteria; Pseudomonadati; Thermodesulfobacteriota; Desulfobacteria; Desulfobacterales; Desulfobacteraceae
Rfam family: tRNA
About the family: Transfer RNA (tRNA) molecules are approximately 80 nucleotides in length. Their secondary structure includes four short double-helical elements and three loops (D, anti-codon, and T loops).
Source: Rfam by way of RNAcentral
AGGCACGUAGCUCAGGGGGAGAGCGCUACCUUGACACGGUAGAAGUCGUUGGUUCAAAUCCAAUCGUGCCUA